Molecule: ribosomal RNA, 241 nt
Filed under: uncultured bacterium
Lineage: Bacteria
Description: partial 16S ribosomal RNA
Rfam family: Bacterial small subunit ribosomal RNA
Source: RNAcentral
GAUCCUGGCUCAGGAUGAACGCUAGCGACAGGCUUAACACAUGCAAGUCGAGGGGCAGCAUGAGGUAGCAAUACCUUGAUGGCGACCGGCGCACGGGUGAGUAACACGUAUCCAACCUGCCGAUGACUCGGGGAUAGCCUUUCGAAAGAAAGAUUAAUACCCGAUGGCAUAGUUCUUCCGCAUGGUAGAACUAUUAAAGAAUUUCGGUCAUCGAUGGGGAUGCGUUCCAUUAGGUUGUUGG